RNAcentral lists this ribosomal RNA (492 nucleotides) under uncultured bacterium. RNAcentral's name for it is "partial 16S ribosomal RNA". It matches the Rfam family "Bacterial small subunit ribosomal RNA", at positions 29 to 507 of the family's 1533-position model. The record is from RNAcentral.
AGUGAACGCUGGCGGUAGGCCUAACACAUGCAAGUCGAACGGCAGCACAGUAAGAGCUUGCUCUUACGGGUGGCGAGUGGCGGACGGGUGAGGAAUACAUCGGAAUCUACUUUUUCGUGGGGGAUAACGUAGGGAAACUUACGCUAAUACCGCAUACGACCUACGGGUGAAAGCAGGGGAUCUUCGGACCUUGCGCGAUUGAAUGAGCCGAUGUCGGAUUAGCUAGUUGGCGGGGUAAAGGCCCACCAAGGCGACGAUCCGUAGCUGGUCUGAGAGGAUGAUCAGCCACACUGGAACUGAGACACGGUCCAGACUCCUACGGGAGGCAGCAGUGGGGAAUAUUGGACAAUGGGCGCAAGCCUGAUCCAGCCAUACCGCGUGGGUGAAGGAGGCCUUCGGGUUGUAAAGCCCUUUUGUUGGGAAAGAAAAGCAGCAGGUUAAUACCCCGCUGUUCUGACGGUACCCAAAGAAUAAGCACCGGCUAACCUCGUG